UGCGCCGGAAAAGAACUGUUCAUUGAGAAAAAUAAUUCAAAAAUUUGAAAUUUUUUCAACGUAUCAAACAUGGAAAAAAAUUUUCGACCGUUAAAGUCGAUUUCCGAACAUUUUUUCCGUGAAAAAAUUUCCGUCCGUCUGGAGAGACGGAAAUUUUUUCCGGAAUUUUAUUUUUGCCCGUUAGGGCACGCACGCGAGCGCGUCUUCGUCUUCCUCCUGCACCGUCGUCGUCUUCCUCUCCUCACGCCGAGCUUCCUCUUGCACAGCCUUCUCACACAGCGUCUAGCAGAGAAAGAAAAAGGGAGAACGAAGGGGAAAGAGGAAGAAGGGAAGAAAGGGGAAAGAGGAAGAACAAAGGGGAAAGAGCAUCGUCCGUCGCCCAGCACCUCACGCCCAGCACCGUCGUCGUCUUCCUCUCCUCACGCCCAGCAUCGUCUUUCGCCCUCUCACUCGCCUCUCCCUCCUGCCGCAAGCCCGCAGCCCGCAGCUGCCUCCUGCCUCUUUCGCCCUCUCACUCUCCUGCUCCCUCAUCCUCUCUCUCGUCCUCUGUUCUUGAUAUCUGGUUGAUGGGCAUCUGUUUUUCCCUUUGAUCGUGACUCUCCGUGAGUUAUUUUGAGUGUCUCGGAAGCUUUUGAUUUUGUUUGGUGCUCUUGAUUUUGUUUGGUGCUCUUUGCUCUGGAUUUCCUGAGAGUCGAUUCCGUGGGUUUCUUCCGUCUGUUCAAUCGGUUUCUUGUUCUAACUUGGACCGAUACUGUUGGUCUGUCUUCUGGAGUUCUGAGUGAUGGUUGCUGGCUGAAGCCACCAUUUCUACUGCUGCCACCGUUUCUACUGCUGCUGUUGGUGAAUCGGAUGCGUGGAGUUUACUUGUGUUUAUCGUUCGGAUGUUAAGUUUCUUGUAAAGAAUUUAGUAAUCCAUAUGAGCAGUUCAAGAAUAAGUUCUUCGACAUCAGUUUGUUGAAGUGGCUUUCUCUUUAUUAGUUUCCUGAUUGGUUAGUUUCGUCGUAUUCAUCAAGCUCUUGUGCAAUAAUAAAUUUCAGGGGUGGAUAAAAUUGUCAACCCCCAACAGCCUUCCUAUGAAAUUUGGUGCUUGCAAAUUUUGUGCAAUAUCAAAGGAACAACAGUUGAACA
Long non-coding RNA from Nymphaea colorata (pocket water lily), 1128 nucleotides. RefSeq lists it as uncharacterized. Lineage: Eukaryota; Viridiplantae; Streptophyta; Magnoliopsida; Nymphaeales; Nymphaeaceae. The transcript is spliced from 2 exons. The record is from RefSeq and is a predicted model, not a curated record.